GAUGAACGCUGGCGGCGUGCCUAAUACAUGCAAGUCGAGCGAACAGACGAGGAGCUUGCUCCUCUGACGUUAGCGGCGGACGGGUGAGUAACACGUGGAUAACCUACCUAUAAGACUGGGAUAACUUCGGGAAACCGGAGCUAAUACCGGAUAAUAUAUUCAACCGCAUGGUUCAAUAGUGAAAGACGGUUUUGCUGUCACUUAUAGAUGGAUCCGCGCCGCAUUAGCUAGUUGGUAAGGUAACGGCUUACCAAGGCAACGAUGCGUAGCCGCCCUGAGAGGGUGAUCGGCCACACUGGAACUGAGACACGGUCCAGACUCCUACGGGAGGCAGCAGUAGGGAAUCUUCAGCAAUGGGCGAAAGCCUGACGGAGCAACACCGCGUGAGUGAUGAAGGUCUUCGGAUCGUAAAACUCUGUUAUUAGGGAAGAACAAAUGUGUAAGUAACUAUGCACGUCUUGACGGUACCUAAUCAGAAAGCCACGGCUAACUACGUG
This 497-nucleotide ribosomal RNA is filed under the name uncultured bacterium. Its description in RNAcentral is "partial 16S ribosomal RNA". It matches the Rfam family "Bacterial small subunit ribosomal RNA", at positions 28 to 507 of the family's 1533-position model. The record is from RNAcentral.